This 255-nucleotide ribosomal RNA is filed under the name Clostridioides difficile. Its description in RNAcentral is "partial 23S ribosomal RNA". It matches the Rfam family "Bacterial large subunit ribosomal RNA", at positions 1413 to 1665 of the family's 2925-position model. Lineage: Bacteria; Bacillati; Bacillota; Clostridia; Peptostreptococcales; Peptostreptococcaceae. The record is from RNAcentral.
AGGUGAUGGACAACAGGUUGAUAUUCCUGUACUACCGAUAACCGUUUGAGAGAUGGGAUGACACAGUAGGAUAAGCUAAGCACACUGUUGGUUAUGUGUGCCCAAGCAUUGAGGCAGUCAAAGUAGGUAAAUCCGCUUUGAUAAUGCUGGGAUGUGAUGGGGAGCGAAAUUUAGUAGCGAAGUAGCUGAUUUCACACUGUCAAGAAAAGUCUCUAUCGAGGUUAAAGGUACCCGUACCGCAAACCGACACAGGUG